RNAcentral lists this long non-coding RNA (401 nucleotides) under Ananas comosus (pineapple). RNAcentral describes it as "long non-coding RNA (ACOM_LNC011089)". Lineage: Eukaryota; Viridiplantae; Streptophyta; Magnoliopsida; Poales; Bromeliaceae. The record is from RNAcentral.
AAAAAGAAAAGGAGUACUCACUAGUCAGUAGUAAUGUAAUCUCUCUCUCUCCCUCUCUCUCUCUCUCUCUCUCUCUCUCUCUGUGUAAUCUAUGUCUCUCUCUCUCUGUCUCGACAUUAAUUAACUCCUUUUUUUACUUUAAUUAGUAAAAAAAAGAAAAAAGAAGAAGAAGAAGAAGAGGAGACGGAUAGAAACUGUGGGUUUAAAAAAAAGAAGAAGAAAAAAAGAGAUGGACUUAAUUUGGAUGGAAAAGAUUGUAGAUCGAUUAUUAUUUUAUUUUAUAAGCAAUAUUGGGUUCCAGACCUAGAUAUGUUAGCUUUAAUGUCAAUUAUUUUUUUAUUAUUACAUCGAUCCUAUUCUUUGAUGAGCCGCUUUUUCUUUUUUUAUUUUACUUUGUUGCA